ACGGGUGAGUAACACGUAUCCAACCUGCCGUCUACUCUUGGACAGCCUUCUGAAAGGAAGAUUAAUACAAGAUGGCAUCAUGAGUCCGCAUGUUCACAUGAUUAAAGGUAUUCCGGUAGACGAUGGGGAUGCGUUCCAUUAGAUAGUAGGCGGGGUAACGGCCCACCUAGUCUUCAAUGGAUAGGGGUUCUGAGAGGAAGGUCCCCCACAUUGGAACUGAGACACGGUCCAA
Molecule: ribosomal RNA, 232 nt
Filed under: uncultured bacterium
Lineage: Bacteria
Description: partial 16S ribosomal RNA
Rfam family: Bacterial small subunit ribosomal RNA
Source: RNAcentral